GGAAGACUGAGAACCAACUGAACUACAGGAUUAAAUCAGGUGAAAGUAGGGGAAAAAAGACUUGUUAUGAUCUCAGCAAAAUUGGCCCCUGAAGCCAUGCCAAGCACCUAUAAUUUGUUUCGCUGACAUUGAUCAUACUGAGAAAGAGCAGCUGAUAGCAGUCGAGACAGCAGGGCCAGAUUUAGGGUGAGCCGAGUGAGGCAGGGUCAUGUGAAUGCAGGGUAAAAUCCUCUAUCUUUAUUUAUAUUGUUGAUAUUUUGUUCAUCAUGGAUAGUUGUGUGAAUUUCUACUUUUAAAAUAUUGCAUAAAGGUAUUAUUCAUCUUGAUUUCCAAAGUCUUGGUGCCUCCUUAAGUUUUGCACCUGGAGCACGUGCCUCACUCACUUCAUUCUCAUCCACCACUCAGCUAUACAGUUGGAAAAGCAUGUGAUGAUAUGGACAGCACCUAGUAUAAAGAGAAGCUUGAAAGAAUUUUGAAAAGUCAACUUAAGGUUUACUACUGUCCAAUGAGUGCACAGUGAGGGCACUACUGCUAACGCC
This 539-nucleotide long non-coding RNA is filed under the name Homo sapiens (human). RNAcentral describes it as "HSALNT0182539". The record is from RNAcentral. Lineage: Eukaryota; Metazoa; Chordata; Mammalia; Primates; Hominidae.